Molecule: unclassified non-coding RNA, 834 nt
Filed under: Hevea brasiliensis (rubber tree)
Lineage: Eukaryota; Viridiplantae; Streptophyta; Magnoliopsida; Malpighiales; Euphorbiaceae
Source: RNAcentral
AUCUUGAAUUUCAAGAAGAAAAAUGCACCAUUACCUGAAGUUGCAGCUACACCAAAAGGCUCAUUAAAGAGAAGGAUAUCUAUGUACAGAGCUUUUAGUGGUUUACAAAGUAGAUUCAGUUUCAAAGGUUCGCCUGGUAGAGCUGACAAUGAAGAUGAAGAAGUUAUUUUAGUAAGUUCACUGCAGCAAGAAGGGUCACAAGGACACAGUCAAACUAUGUUUCUUAUGUCAUCUGAACAAGGUGGAGAAUAUGAGAUGGUUUUCUUUAGAAGACUUGAUGAUGAAUUCAACAAGGUGAUAACUUUUUACAAGAAAAAAGUAGGGGAAGUGAAGGAUGAAGCUGAUGAAUUGAGUAAACAAAUGGAUGCACUUAUUGCUCUAAGAAUUAUGGUUGAUAAACCUUCAAUUGGUAUGCGUAGUGACCAAGUAAUGAUGGAUGAUGAUACUACUUCGUCUCCAGGAUCAGUAGUUCCUACUCAUAAUAUCAGAAGUCCAGGUGGGGCACAUAUGGAGGCAAUUCAAGAAGUUGAGAUGACUGGUGAAGAAAUUCUGGAAGAGGAAUCAACAUCUAAAGAAAAGAAGAAUCUCAUGCGUUUUAGGCCUGCUCCAAUAGAGAUUUUGGACAAUGUAAAAAUCAAUAUUGAUCCCGCAACACCUAUCUCGACUUUGAAAAAUGUGAUCAGAACUUCAAAAGCAAACGUAAAAUUCAGCAAAGAUGAGCUCAAAAAAGCCGAAGAACAAAUGAAAAAGGCUUUUGUUGAGUUCUAUAAAAAGCUUAGACUUCUGAAAAGCUACCGUUUACUAAAUGUGUUGGCGUUCUCCAAGAUCAUGAAG